GAUGAACGCUGGCGGCGUGCCUAAUACAUGCAAGUCGAGCGAACGGACGAGAAGCUUGCUUCUCUGAUGUUAGCGGCGGACGGGUGAGUAACACGUGGAUAACCUACCUAUAAGACUGGGAUAACUUCGGGAAACCGGAGCUAAUACCGGAUAAUAUUUUGAACCGCAUGGUUCAAAAGUGAAAGACGGUCUUGCUGUCACUUAUAGAUGGAUCCGCGCUGCAUUAGCUAGUUGGUAAGGUAACGGCUUACCAAGGCAACGAUGCAUAGCCGACCUGAGAGGGUGAUCGGCCACACUGGAACUGAGACACGGUCCAGACUCCUACGGGAGGCAGCAGUAGGGAAUCUUCCGCAAUGGGCGAAAGCCUGACGGAGCAACGCCGCGUGAGUGAUGAAGGUCUUCGGAUCGUAAAACUCUGUUAUUAGGGAAGAACAUAUGUGUAAGUAACUGUGCACAUCUUGACGGUACCUAAUCAGAAAGCCACGGCUAACUACGUGCCAGCAGCCGCGGUAAUACGUAGGUGGCAAGCGUUAUCCGGAAUUAUUGGGCGUAAAGCGCGCGUAGGCGGUUUUUUAAGUCUGAUGUGAAAGCCCACGGCUCAACCGUGGAGGGUCAUUGGAAACUGGAAAACUUGAGUGCAGAAGAGGAAAGUGGAAUUCCAUGUGUAGCGGUGAAAUGCGCAGAGAUAUGGAGGAACACCAGUGGCGAAGGCGACUUUCUGGUCUGUAACUGACGCUGAUGUGCGAAAGCGUGGGGAUCAAACAGGAUUAGAUACCCUGGUAGUCCACGCCGUAAACGAUGAGUG
Molecule: ribosomal RNA, 805 nt
Filed under: Staphylococcus aureus
Lineage: Bacteria; Bacillati; Bacillota; Bacilli; Caryophanales; Staphylococcaceae
Description: bacterial SSU rRNA
Rfam family: Bacterial small subunit ribosomal RNA
Source: RNAcentral